CCUACGGGUGGCAGCAGUGAGGAGUAUUGGUCAAUGGACGAGAGUCUGAACCAGCCAAGUAGCGUGAAGGAUGACUGCCCUAUGGGUUGUAAACUUCUUUUAUAUGGGAAUAAAACGUUCCACGUGUGGGAUUUUGUAUGUACCAUAUGAAUAAGGAUCGGCUAACUCCGUGCCAGCAGCCGCGGUAAUACGGAGGAUCCGAGCGUUAUCCGGAUUUAUUGGGUUUAAAGGGAGCGUAGGUGGAUUGUUAAGUCAGUUGUGAAAGUUUGCGGCUCAACCGUAAAAUUGCAGUUGAAACUGGCAGUCUUGAGUACAGUAGAGGUGGGCGGAAUUCGUGGUGUAGCGGUGAAAUGCUUAGAUAUCACGAAGAACUCCGAUUGCGAAGGCAGUUCACUGGACUGCAACUGACACUGAGGCUCGAAAGUGUGGGUAUCAAACAGGAUUAGAUACCCUUGUAGUC
Molecule: ribosomal RNA, 460 nt
Filed under: uncultured bacterium
Lineage: Bacteria
Description: partial 16S ribosomal RNA
Rfam family: Bacterial small subunit ribosomal RNA
Source: RNAcentral